UACGUAGGUGGCAAUCGUUGUCGGGAAUUAUUGGGCGUAAAGCGCGUGCAGGCGGCCUCUUAAGGUUGAUGUGAAAGCCCCCGGCCCAACCGGGGAGGGCCAUUGGAAACUGGGAGGCUUGAGUAUAGGAGAGAAGAGUGGAAUUCCACGUGUAGCGGUGAAAUGCGUAGAGAUGUGGAGGAACACCAGUGGCGAAGGCGACUCUCUGGCCUAUAACUGACGCUGAGGCGUGAAAGCGUGGGGAGCAAACAGG
RNAcentral lists this unclassified non-coding RNA (253 nucleotides) under uncultured Caryophanales bacterium. Its description in RNAcentral is "uncultured Bacillales bacterium contains 16S-23S intergenic spacer region". It matches the Rfam family "Bacterial small subunit ribosomal RNA", at positions 524 to 776 of the family's 1533-position model. Lineage: Bacteria; Bacillati; Bacillota; Bacilli; Caryophanales. The record is from RNAcentral.